RNAcentral lists this ribosomal RNA (405 nucleotides) under uncultured bacterium. Its description in RNAcentral is "partial 16S ribosomal RNA". It matches the Rfam family "Bacterial small subunit ribosomal RNA", at positions 30 to 526 of the family's 1533-position model. The record is from RNAcentral.
AUUGAACGCUAGCGGGAUGCUUUACACAUGCAAGUCGAACGAGUGGCGGACGGGUGAGUAAUAUAUCGGAACGUGCCCAGUAGCGGGGGAUAACUACUCGAAGGGGUGGCUAAUACCGCAUACUAUUGAAGGUGCCCAUAUCGGAUUAGCUAGUUGGGGGGGUAAAGGCUAACCAAGGCAACGAUCCGUAGCUGGUUUGAGAGGACGACCAGCCACACGGGGACUGAGACACGGCCCAGACUCCUACGGGAGGAAGCAGUGGGGAAUUGUGGACAAUGGGGGAAACCCUGAUCCAGCCAUCCCGCGUGUAUGAGAAGGCCUUCGGGUUGUAAAGUACUUUUGGCAGAGAAGCGGUAUCUGCAGAAUAAGCACCGGCUAACUACGUGCCAGCAGCCGCGGUAAUAC